RNAcentral lists this ribosomal RNA (253 nucleotides) under uncultured bacterium. RNAcentral describes it as "partial 16S ribosomal RNA". It matches the Rfam family "Bacterial small subunit ribosomal RNA", at positions 524 to 776 of the family's 1533-position model. The record is from RNAcentral.
UACGUAGGGGGCUAGCGUUGUCCGGAUUUAUUGGGCGUAAAGAGCGUGUAGGCGGCCAAGUAGGUCCGGUGUGAAAACUCGAGGCUUAACCUCGAGAUGUCAUCGGAAACCAUUUGGCUAGAGUCCGGAAGAGGAAAGUGGAAUUCCUGGUGUAGCGGUGAAAUGCGCAGAUAUCAGGAGGAACACCGGUGGCGAAGGCGGAUCUCUGGGCCUUACCUGACGCUGAGGCGCGAAAGCUAGGGGAGCAAACAGG